This 468-nucleotide ribosomal RNA is filed under the name uncultured bacterium. Its description in RNAcentral is "partial 16S ribosomal RNA". It matches the Rfam family "Bacterial small subunit ribosomal RNA", at positions 28 to 507 of the family's 1533-position model. The record is from RNAcentral.
GACGAACGCUGGCGGCGUGCUUAACACAUGCAAGUCGAACGGAAAGGCCCUGCUUUUGUGGGGUGCUCGAGUGGCGAACGGGUGAGUAACACGUGAGUAACCUGCCCUUGACUUUGGGAUAACUUCAGGAAACUGGGGCUAAUACCGGAUAGGAGCUCCUGCUGCAUGGUGGGGGUUGGAAAGUUUCGGCGGUUGGGGAUGGACUCGCGGCUUAUCAGCUUGUUGGUGGGGUAGUGGCUUACCAAGGCUUUGACGGGUAGCCGGCCUGAGAGGGUGACCGGCCACAUUGGUACUGAGAUACGGCCCAGACUCCUACGGGAGGCAGCAGUGGGGAAUAUUGCACAAUGGGCGGAAGCCUGAUGCAGCAACGCCGCGUUCGGGAUGACGGCCUUCGGGUUGUAAACCGCUUUCGCCUGUAACGAAGCGUGAGUGACGGUAAUGGGUAAAGAAGCACCGGCUAACUACGUG